AGAACAUGGUGGCUUCAAACAAUAGAAAUUGGUUUUGUGGUUCUGGAGCCCAAGAUUCCAGAGGGACGCUUCCUUGCCCUGUCAUUUCCUGGUGGCCUCUGACAUUCCCCUGCCUGUGGCCCGUACAACUCAGGCUCCGCCUCCGUCUCCCGGGCUUCUCCCCGGGGGUCCCUGGGUGUCUCCUCUCUGUCUAGGACAAGGAUGCUCAUCACUGGACACAGAGCCCCCCGAUCCAGAUGCCCUCGGGUCAAGAUUCUUGCCCAUGUGAAGACCCCGACUUGGAUACGGUGGCGCCCUGAGGCUCCGGGUGGACAUCACUGCUGGCCGCAGACGGGACUGACCCCACAGCCGACUGACACAGGAAGCAAGGUCCUCUGGAAUAGGACAAGGACAGUGAGCACUCGGUAACUCAUCAGGACCCUGGGUCCGGCCACUUGUGCCUCUGGCUUCUUUCCGUUUGGUGACACUGAGUUUGUAUCAAACACAGAUUCGUAAUUUUCAAGGGAAAGAGAAGAGACUUGACCGGCCUCCUCGGGAUUCCUCCCCUCCCCCUUGGCCAUCAUGCCCACCUGGAAGGGCCACUCGGCAGGAAUCUGACCCCCUCCGCACUCUUGUCCCACGCGGAGGCCAUGAUGGUGGCAUCUGGUCUGGAGCCGAGGAGAGGAGAAGGGAAAUACGGACGCCGGCCCUGGGCAGGGUGUGCAGCCCACCACACAGCCAACUCGCAGGAAGCACAAAGGGAAAUGGGAAAAUGAGAGGGAGACUUGUACCAGCCCGGCCCAUUUAGUCAGUUGAAAAAAAGUGGAUUAUGGAGAAUCCUGGGGCAGACUC
RNAcentral lists this long non-coding RNA (831 nucleotides) under Marmota monax (woodchuck). The record is from RNAcentral. Lineage: Eukaryota; Metazoa; Chordata; Mammalia; Rodentia; Sciuridae.